Molecule: long non-coding RNA, 18908 nt
Filed under: Solanum tuberosum (potato)
Lineage: Eukaryota; Viridiplantae; Streptophyta; Magnoliopsida; Solanales; Solanaceae
Description: long non-coding RNA (STUB_LNC002088)
Source: RNAcentral
UGAUUUGAUCAUAUCGUUUUCAUUCCUUAAGUUAUCGUGAUGAUAGUGACUUUUGCAAAAUUUAGGAAGCAACGCUAUGUAUAUGGAACCAUUUUAAACAACGUUGCCCAGAUCACAGGAGUUGUCAAAUUUGAUUUGCAUGCGGAACCAGAGACUGGAAAAACAAAGCUUGAAGUAGGUGGAAAUGUUCCUGGAAUUUUCGACCUUGGACCUGGAAGAUUUGGCUCAGAGGCAAUAUUUGUUCCCCGUCAACCUGGGACUGAAUGUGAAGAGGAUGACGGCUACUUAAUAUUGUUUGUACAUGAUGAGAACACUGGGUACUCCUCUACCACUCUCUUGCAUUGCAUAUACAAAAUACACAAUUACUAUAACUUGGACCUUUUCUCUGUGAGACCAAAAGAUUUGACAUUGACUGUCUUUAAGUUGAAUUUACUUUUUUAAAGCAAACCAAAGUGGGAAAGUGAUGUAGAUUUCAUCUAACUGCUUUCUGCUUCAAGCCUAGCAAUAAGUAAAAGAGCAUAAUAAUACAACUCACAAUUAUUUGAAGAUUGUGGUACGCCCAAAAAAUAUUUAAGGUGGUGCCCUGUUAGGCAACCUCCUGCUGAAUGUUCUCCAAAUUUUUCACAAGUUCACUAUCAAAAUGAAAGGAAAGUAUCAUUCGAUCAGUCAAACACACUGUAACCUCAAACUAGUUAGGGUUAAGAGUCAUGUGUAUCUUACUCUCUAUUUGGGUUCACGUUUAUUGCAGAAAUGGUAAGUGGUUUGUCUUUUAAGGCAAUUAUGGAUUCUCUAGAAUGAGAUGGUCCUUUAAAUCUCACAUUCUUUCCUACUCAGACUUAAUAUAAGAUUAGCAACACUAAGCCUCCUGACUAGUUUGUAUCUCUUAUAUGGGUCAUUUACUUCCACUAUGUUCUAUUAGUACCAAUAUCUAAAGUUCUGUCAUCUUGGCAUUUUUCGAUUAGGCAACCUAUGAACAGUUGUUUUUAUACAAGCUACCUUCCAAACUAAAAAAAAAACUAAGAUUGUAGGUCUUCUAAGUCAAUUUCUCUCCAUGACAUUUUACAUCUACCUCGUCCCUUUUAGUGUCUUCAAACACCAUAGUGUCAGCACCUAUAAAUUGGUGCACUUGGAGGUCUAUAUAUGAUAUGUCCAAACCAUUCUAUGUAUGUGAUUUGCACCCUUUUUAACCAUUUGAUAUCUAUUAGUACUCUAUAUCUUAAUAUCAACAAUUCUACAACACUUUUCUUGUAGAUAUAUUGUUAUUGGGCAUUAGAGCCUCGGCAUUCACUUCAUAUUAUUAAAUUGUUCGUCACAUAAAUGUUUAAAUGAAUUUCCUUUCAAUUUGUUAGGUAUCUUCUAUAUUGCCUAUCACCCUCUAGUGCACGUCCAAUUCAACCAUCCCAAUUUAAUUCUACUGGAUAUAUCUUCAUCUAAUAUUUCAUUUUCCCUGAAAACUGAUUCUAGAUGUCUAAAUUGUCACCAAUUAUGUAUCACAAUCCUACUCAAUCUCAGUUCACCUUUGUACUUCUUAUGGAGAGUAAACUUGUAAUGUAUGUAUUUUUGUCCAACUCUACUCAUCCUUAAACCUUACUGUCUAGAGUGUUUGUCCAAAGUUACAACUUUUGGUUAAAUCACUUAGAAGUUCUCAAUUAACAUGAUAGCAUCUACAGCUCCCAUGCCUUAUCAUGUUACUAUUGGUAGUUCGUUCAUAACUAAGGGAAACAAGUAAAGGGUAGAUCCCUCACACAAACUCCCGGUUAUAGAAUACGCCUUUGUAGUUCCUCUUCUCACACUUGUGACAUCUCCCUUAUACAUAUCUUUUAUCAACACAUAUAUUUGAUAUGGAUUUUUUCCUUCUCAACUCCCACAAAAGGACUUACUCUUGGUACUCUUAUCAUAUUCUCUUCUAAGUCAUUGAAUACCAUGUAGCGAUCCAUCUUCCUCUACAUAUUAAUUUUCAUCAGUUUUCUAAGAAUAAGUAUAGCCUCUACUACAUAUCUACUUUUCAUAACGUAAAAUGGUUAUCUAUCAUCCUUGAAUUCCUUGAGAUAUAUACUCAAAAAGGAGAAUUAUUGGUCGAAUAAAUCCUAGAUAGGUGAAUGACCAAUGUAAUGCCUUCCCUUUCAGGGGUAUAAUUGUGUUCAUUAUUUUGUGCUAGAAACUUGAAAUAUUCUCUGACCAAUUUCAUUUUCUGGUGUACAUUAUGCAGAAAGUCAUCAGUGAAUGUAAUUGAUGCGAAAACAAUGUCAGCUGAACCUGUGGCAGUUGUUGAAUUACCUAAAAGAGUUCCAUUUGGAUUCCAUGCCUUCUUUGUCACAGAGGUGAGUUAAGCUAACUUUCUUUGACAUAUAUGAAACGGUUCAGAGUGCGAAAUUGAGAGGAUUUAAACAUGUGAUCUCAUUUCUCAUUCAACUUUCUGUAGAGUUGCAAUUUGCUGUUUCUCUCUGUUUACAUUUUGGUUUAAACUUGCUCUCAUUCUCGCAAUUCAUCGUCCUCUGUACAGGAACAAAUUCAAGAGCAAGCCAAAAUGUGAGAAGAGUGGAUCAGAAAGUCAGUCUACGAACAACAUGCAACUAUGUUUUCAAUUGGCAUCAUCAAUAUUAUUCUGUGAUAUAUAUUGUAAUUAUAUGUUCAUAGUACCUGUUAUGAGCAGGUGGCUACUGGUGACUAUAACAUAGUAAUAAAUGUAUGUCAAGUUUUCUGUGUGUAUCUGCACUCAUUUCAUAUUAUACAAAUGAUUAUGGAACUGCUAAAGUUUCCUGGCUAUAAAUAUUUUUUGCUUUUUUUAUUCAAAAUAGCUUUUGGUUAUAUAUCAGUACAAUGAUAUAACUAAUGCAAAAACAAUGGAAUCUUGUGAGUGUAUUUACAGCUUGUUUGGAUGGUUGUUACCUAUUGUAUCAUAUUAUUAUGUUAUCAAUCUUAAUAUGAUUUUUAUUUUUAUUUUAUUUACUAUAUGAUAUCGUUAAAUUCAUUGUUAUGUUAAUGAAGAGGAUGUCCCAUUUUAACAAUCGACUUGUUAACUUAUUUUUUUCUUUUCAUUUUGUCAUUGUUUAUUAUUUAAAUAAUUUUAUUUUAUUAUUUACCAUAUCUUUUUAUAAUAUCUAUAUUCAUAACUUUCUUUUUUGUUGUAAGUUUAUCUUUCAAAUUGCUUUUACAUGACAUUAUAUAAAGAUAUAAAUUAUAUAAUUUAUUCAAAUAUUAAAUUUAUCAAAAUAAUACAAUACAAUAUAAUUAAUUAUUUGACUAUAUAUUCAAUUAUUGUAUAUUCACUUGUCAUUACUAUAAAAACUCAUAAAUUUUAUAUUCUAAAUUCGUCUCAAUGGUUAAAUAUCGCUCUAUAAAAUAGAGAGAAAAAAUUAAAUAAGAUGGAAAAACCAAAAAAUUCUCAGUCUAGUAACUUUGCACCUAUUGAUGAAGAAACACCUCCUUGCAGGGACCUUCUUGUCAAAGGCUACUUGCUUGUAAAUAGCUACUACUUCCCCUUAUUUACAUUUUCUAUCCAUCUUUUAACUUAUAUCAAACUUACAUUAUAGUGUAUUUUAACAUAGAAAUAUGUAGCGCGCUUAUUUUUCUUGUUUUAUCAUGUGGUUUGCAGGCCUCUUAUAUUUCGUGUUACUAAUAAAUUUAAUUUACUUUUCGUAAAUAGUUACUUGUAUAUAUUUUAAGUGAUUAUCUUAUAAUGUAGAAAUUCUUUUGCAAUAUCAUGCAUUGUAUAGAUAUUCUUUCGUGCUGAAAUAGGCAAACCUAUCUUAUUUCAAAUAGUUAAAAAGCAAAAUUUGACCUUCUUUCCUUGUUUUGGAGCAAUUGUUUGUAAGAAUGAUAUUUUAAAGUUAGUUUGCUAAUUGAAGAGAAUAUUUGAACCAAAAACAUAGCGAUAAGGACAUUUUGAACCAAAAACUUUUGGAAAAGUACAACCGGCUCAUAAAGGCUCAAAAAUGUCCUUAACCUAUUAGAAAUAGUUUUAAAAUGCCCUCCUUUCACCUAUUGAUUUAAAAAUGCCCUUAACAUUUUCUUUAGGUUCAAAAAUGCCCAUUAAGUAAUAGAAAUAUGACAUGGAAUUUGACUUAACAAGUGGCCAUUUUAUAUUGGUCCACAUAAUUUUUUUACCCAAUUAAAGGAUCCGACUCACAGAUGAUUGAAGCCUUUUCUCUGUUCUUUAUUCCUCUGUUUUUUUCUUCAAAAAUGGUAGAUGUUUAAUUACUUUCAAUAAAAAAAAAAUAACAGCUAAACUGCAACAUUUUAACUCGGGCAAAACAGAUAGUUAAAAUGCAAAUCUUAAGGCUCAUAGUAGCAACUUUCAACCCAACAAACAAACAAGUAAAAUGAAAAAAGCAACAGCUAAUUAAAAUGCAGAAUUUUAAUCCAAUAAAUAGCAGCUCAAAUGCAUAAUAGUAUAGGCAAAAAGUACAACAUCAUAUAAGGAUGAAAUGUUUUUCAUUUAAACAUCAGUUUAAAGCCUUACAUAGCAGAUUACAAAACCUGUACUAAAAAAAUACUAUACAUUGGUAGAAGAACUAGCUACCCUUUGCAUUGCAUACAUGAUUCGACGGCUUAGAUUGAACAAUUUGUACAAUGUGGUAUUUGAUUCGGUUCUUUUAAUUGGGUAAAUAAUGAUGUGGACCAAUAUAAAAUUUUCAUUUGUUUAGUUAAAUUUCAUGUCAUAUUUCUAUUAAAUAAUGGACAUUUGAACCUAAAAAAAACGUUAAGGGCAUUUUUAAACGAAUAAAUAGAACGAGGGCAUUCUUGAACCAUUUUCAAUAGGUUAUGGGUAUUUUUCAACCUUUUCCCUUUAAAUAAGUACAUAUUUUUUCAUUAUCCUUAUUUUAUACUAUUGGUAACAUGAUAUCAAUCCCCCCUUUCCUUUUCAAUUAAGCGUCCUUUUUUCUUCUUACACUUUGUCAUUUUGAGGAAAAUGAGUUAGAUUGUUAUAUGGAAGAGGAAAACUCCAUAAAUUCCUUUUACUUGUUACUUGUUAAUUUGUCCAAAAAGAUGAAACUUCACCAAACAAGUAUGAGAAAUUUUUAUAUUUUUGAUAAACAUAAUGAAGUUUAAAAUUAAUACAAAAAAUUUCAAGAAGAAUAACGUAUUCGCGUGAUGUCCAGAUAUUACAAAAGAUAAUCAUGUUUUAAUUUAAAAUUAACUAACAUUUAUUAUUCACUUGUUAAUAUUUUUUAAAAUUAUUUCUAAAAAGUUAAAAACUUAUUUAUUUAAACAUAUUAAAUUAAUAUUAUUAGUACGCAACUAUCUUUGUAAUAAUAUGAAAAUAUAAUCUCUAUAGUAGCUAUGGCAUGUACAGUGGCAUACACAUAAAUUUUUGUAAGUGGUGUCGUCACUUAAAGGAAAGAACAAAUGAAAAAAUUAAAGAAAAGAUUAACUAAUUUUUGAACACUAGAAUUUUUAAUAGUCAUGUUUGACCAAACUCUUAGAAUCAAACUUAUUUUAAAAAGUGUUUUUUUUUUCAAAAAAAUUAUUUUGGCCAGAAGUGGUUUAUGCUCGAUCAAUAAAUUUAUAAAAUAUUUUUUAGAAGUAAUUAGUGUUUGGCCAAGUAAAUAAUGUAUUUUUCUCAAAAAACAUUUUUCAAAAAAUUGCUUUUAGACAAAAGCUAUUUUUUUUUAGACAUUGAAAAACAACAUUUGCUACUCCCGAAGGCCGAAACACAUUUAUUUUUCUUCAAAAGCUUGAUUAAAUCACUUAUUUUUUUAAAAAUGAACAUUUUUACUUUUAAAAGCUUGGCCAAACAGAUUAUAAUGCGGUUCAAGCUUGUGGUCAAGUAAUUUAACAUCUAAGACAUAAUGCAAAAAUGAUUCUUGAUUGAUUGGUUUGAUUUAAAGAGCUCAAAGGGGAGGGUUUUUGGGUUCGAAUGUCACUUUAAAAUGAAAGAUAUAUUUCACACUAAGGAAACACUUAACCAACAAGCCAUCCGGGAGUUUGUGUUAACUGUUGUCAUCGGUAUUAUAUAUAAAAGUGUUUUGUUUUUUCUGAUAUAUGUAUAUGUAUAUUUUAAUUAAACUUUCCGACUAAGUAGUGUCGGAUGACACCCCUUCUUACAAGGUGGGUCAGCCCCUGGGCAUGUAUAAGACAUAAAAUUAUAAAAAAAAAAAUUAGUAUAUUUCACAUUUGUUUAAUUUAAAAUAAUCAUAUUCAAAAAAAUUCUUUAUUAUAUUAAAUUUCAAACUAAAUUAAAAUAGGACAAAUAAAUUAAUAUGAAAAGAGUAAUAAAUAAAUUACUAUAAAAUACAAACAUGAACAUACAACUUGAUACAAAAUUAAUCUAUGCAGUUCGUAUUUAUCAUUAAAAUUAGUUUACAAAAAUAGAACUCUUCUCAAAGAAAUACUACGUGUUAGAACUCUGAUUUUAUAUCUUUUGUUAGCAAGUAAAAUCUGAUAUUGUAUCUUUAAUUUUAUUUUUGAAGAAAAGAUAGGUUAAAAAACAAUCCACAUAUACACGAUAAUAAAUUUCAACAAGAGUCCAAUUAGAACUCUUUUUCGACAUUACCAACAUGGGUUCAUGUGGUGCACUAGUGGGAGUGUUUCACCCUUAAUCAAAGGUCUUGGGUUCGAGUCCUGAGUAUGGAGAAAAUCUUGUUGGGAGCGCCAUCCCCAAAUGGACCCUGCAGAGCGCGAUUCGAAUUUAAUCAGAGCUCCAAUAUGAGCUUUGGACACCGGUGGAAAACCAAAAAAAAAACUCAUUUUCGACAAAUUAGUAGGAUUUGAUAACGUAUCAUCUAAUAUGAUAACAAUAAAAGUUCAGUUAGAACUCUUUAGUGUGAUAAUUUUUUUAAUUUUUUUUUUAAAUCGCUUAGAUUUUGCAUUGAAGUUUCGAUUAAAUUCAUAUCACACUUGACAGCUAUUCAGUUUAAUGGAUGACACUUAGGAGUGUGCAAAAAUCGAACUGAGUGACGAACCAAACCCAAAAAAGUGCUAUUGGUUUAUGGUUAUUGGGUUAUUGAAUUAACGGGAUUUUAAUGAUUUUAUAAAAAAUAUUAUCGGGUUAUUAGUCUGAUUUUGGUUUUUGAAUAUUGGUUAUUGGGUAAACCGAUAACCCAUUAAGAUUGUAGUAAUUUACUACUACACUUGUACAUAAAUAUUAAAUAUUAGAUCAUGUUUGACAUUACUGUUAAAAACAAUUUAUUUUAAGAAACACUUUUUCUAGAAUGACUUGUUAGGAAAGUGCUUUUGAAAAAAAAAACAAUGUGUUUGGUUAAUUCAAUUGAAACGAGUUUUUGAUAAGUAGAUUGUGUUUGGCUAAUCAUUUUUAAAAAUGUUUUUGAGAGUCAAAUUACGAAAAAGGGCAAAUAUCAAUGCACUUUUUAUAUGAAGAUUAUUUUAUAGAGAGAAAAUUAGUUUAAAUGUCUAUUAUGAAAUUUGGAAUGAAUUUUUUACUUUUAUUAAAUUAAUAUGUACAUAUUCAACUUUUGAAUCAAUAUUAUACAUAGAUAAAUAAAAAUAAAUUAAAUAUUAAUAUAAUAAUUUAAAUUUAAUUAAAAAUAUCAAGAAAAAUAAAUUUAAAAAUCAUUUCACAAAUUAAAUCACUACAUAUGAAAAUUCACCACAAAAAUAAAUAAAUAUAAGGAAUAUAUUGGUAAAUAUUUAUAUAUGGCAAGGAUAGUUUGGUCUUGAAAAAAGUAAUUUUAUGCUUCUGCUUAAAAAUCAUAAAUUUUUAGUUUCUUUCCAACCGUAGAAAAACUGUUUCGCCUUCCCACUAAAAGCAACUUAAACCUGUUAACCAAACACCUUAAUUUUUUUCAAGAAAUCUAUUUUUCUUAAUCAAAAUAAGUGUUUUUGGUCUCCUAACAGCAAUGUCAAACAUGCUCUUAAUCUCAACACUUUACUAGUUACUGUUUUUCUCCUUUAGCCUUUAAUUUACACUUCAUAGAGACUUUUGAGUUCAUAACUUCACCUUAUAUAAAAUGUCAAAACCUAAAGUAACAAACAUAUUCUUCUUAAUUUCUCUUUGUGUUACACUUGUAUAGUUCUUUUCUUGUUAGUUAUUACUAUUUCUAUUUUACGGGCAUUAGUAAAGUUACAUUAUUGUCUUGUCCUAUCAAAUUGUAGGAGAAGUCAUAUAUUUGUUUUAUAAAUAUUUUUUUAUUGGUUAAACCAAAAACCGAACCGUAAAUGACCAAAACCGAUAAACCAAAAAUCGAUAAGAAAUAUCUUAUUGGUUUAGCAUUUUUAAAAAUCGAAUAUCGAUAAGUCGAAAAGGAUUUUCACAUACCCAUUCAAAGGGUGAUGCUUCCAAUAAGAUUUUCUUCAUACCCAAAGCUCGAACCCGAAAUCUUUGAUUAAGGAUGGACAGUGCACCACAAACUCAGAUUGAUUUUAGUGUGAUAGUAACUAUUAUCUCUAAUAUGUAAUUUUUAUAAAAAUAUAAAAAUUAAAUUACUAUUUUUAAAUAAAUAGGAGCACCAAGUCAUGCAGUAGUAGCUCAAGCAUUUUCCCCUCCUACACUAUAUAAGUAAGCACAACAAAUUUGAUUUAGAGAGAAAGAGAGAGAAAAUGGGGAUGAAAGAAGAAAAUGCAGUGGCGAGAACUGAAGGAGGAGUAGUGGUGGUUGAUCCAAAGCCACAAAAUGGAGUCGCUGCAAAGGCAAUAGACUGGGUAGAAUGGGCGAUCAUCAAAUUGAUGAACAACUCAACCAAGCCACUCCCCCUUCUUCAGGGCAAUUUUGUACCUACUGAUGAAACUCCCCCACUUAAACACCUUCCUGUUAAAGGCCAUCUUCCGGUCAGUUUAGUUCACUAUUUUCCUAGCAAAACUUUAGGAACUAGUAAAUCGAUGUGCAUUUUGAUAAAUAGUUGGUGACAGUUCAGAUAGGAAAUAGAUACACUUGAUAGUUGAGUAGAGAACUCGCAAAAAAGUGAAGUAGUGAUACUUUAGUUUUUUUUAACAAAAUCAUUAUUGCUAAUAAUAAAGAAAUGGAACUUGUGGUGCGAAACUCCAACAACAACAACAUACCCAGUGAAAUCCUACUAAGUGGGGUUUAGGGUAGAGUAUAUGCAUACCUUACUACUAUCUCGUGGAGAUAGAGAGGUUGUGGUGCGAAACUCCCCAUCUCAUUUUUUCUGGUUAUCCAACUUUUGAAAUUUGUGGUCUUAAAUGUGUCAGAAUAUUUGUAUGAUUAUAAAAGCUCGUAAGGGUAAAAUGAUGAUUGUAUUGUAAAUUGUUCUCAAAUUGACACUAAAUAUGCUUUGACCAAUUAGAACACUAUACUUGUUGAAGUUAAUUUGUAUCAGAGUGUAAUAGACUGGGUCAUUUGCAUAGUAGCAGAAUAUGCAUCUUUGAGACUGAAUUUUUCGUAACUGUAUUCUACAGAGUAUGCUUUUGAGAGUUCAGUUCAUUACUCAUUGGAUCAUGAAAAAAAGAACCAAUUUCAUAUGCAAUUGUUAGUAGGGGAGAGGCCAGGAACUUUAGCUGUACCAAUGAAUCAGUUGAUAUAAACAAGCUUUACUUCAUAAAAAUACUAAUCAGUUGAUAUUUUGUUCCUUCUGUUGUUUCUCGACUUCCUUUUGUCCCCAUAAUACUUUCAUGUUUGCUGCAUGGAAACGGAUUGACGAUGAACAUAUUCAUUUUCUGUUAUUUCCUUAAUCUCUAGUACACAGGAGAACAUAUCGGAUGUAACCUAAGUUUUUAAGGUCAGAAGAUGCCCAUGAAAAAGAUUUUUUUAGAGGAAGAUAAAAAAAAAUGCGCAUUUCCCUAUUGAUUAACCUCUGAAGCGUUGGGAUUGGAUAUAGAUGGGAAAUCUAUAGAUCGUAGUAGUUCGCCAACCUCUCUAACUAACAUACGAUACAAUUUCACUUCACGGCCUUUUAUGAUCGCUUCGUCUAGUUGGCUUCAAAGAUAUCUAAAUCUAAUAAUCCAUUGUGAACUUUGUAUGACAGGAGUGCCUAAAUGGUGAGUUUUUCAGGGUUGGUCCAAAUCCUAAAUUUGCUCCAGUUGCUGGAUCUCAUUGGUAUUUUCUUCUCUUCAUAACCUAUUUUCAUCACUGACUUUUAUUAUUCCUUCAAUUCUUCUCUUUUCCUACACCACAACAAAUACAAUCUCUGAGGUUACAUAACAGAAGAAUUCAUCAUUCUUGUUCAUUCUUUGUUAAUGAAGAGAUUUUGUUUAGAAUUGUCAGUAUUAAACUAAGCCUUACUUCCUCUCUAUGCAGGUUCGAUGGAGAUGGGUAUGUCUCUUGCAGUCUCGGCUUUUCAAUUUAGAGUACACAUCAAAUUUUCACAAAUUAUUUUGAAAAAGAAGUGUCACUAUUGUUUUACUCUUUCACUCAUUUUGAGCGACAACGGUGUCUUCAUUUUGCUGAAACUGGAUUAGAGUAUUGCAUUUCAUGUGGUUAAUUGACUAUAUAGCUUAUAUAAUGAGGCAAGGUAUUCACAUGUGAUACUCUUUUAAUGUUUGAGGAAAAUAUUCAUGUUGUUGUACUCUUUUCUUAACUGAUCACUUCCUAUGGCUUGUUGACCUUAUGUGGCUCUUUAAACUUUUAACUCAAUAAUACUAUGUCAUAUUAGCAAUUCAGAUUUGGUAUACAGAUGGUUAUGCUUAUACCUAGAUAUUUAGAGUAAAAAUAAUUGAUGAUUAGGACAUUUCUCAAUAUCAGGGCCAACUUUGUUCAUUUUCUUGACUAUCUACUCUCUGUUAGUUAAGAGACAGCAUACAAUACAAACGAUUUAUUUUGUUAAUUGUCUUAUGAUGCAGCAUUAAGUGAUCAGUCAUGCUUUAUUAGUUCACUUUUUUUAUUUGCCUUUUAACAAUGACAACAAAAUUCAUUUGGUGUAUCUAUAUUUCUAUGUUUUAUGUUGCUUUUGAUAUGUAGAGGAGCAUAUGUGAAUGUGAAGGUAAAAAUUCUCAUUAUAUUGUCUGACAUCAGAGAAAACUGCUACCUUGAUUAACUUUGAUUUUCCUUCAGCAUGAUUCAUGGCUUGCAAAUCAAGGAUGGAAAAGCAACAUAUGUCUCACAUUUUGUGAGGACAUCACGUCUUAAGCAAGAAGAGUUCUUUGGAGGAGCCAAGUUUAUGAAGGUGAACAUUUAUUUUAAAGUUCUUACUCUCAGAUUUCUUUGUCUUGUCAAUCUUUUAUUCUAUGGAACUUUAAACAAUAAAUAUUUGAAGUUUUUAAAACUUAAUGUGAUCUUCUGUCUGUUUUUUUUAAGAAGUCAUUGAGCAUGUUCUCGCAUAAAGGAUUCUUUGUCUAGAACACUAGCAUAAAUUGUUCACUAAGUAUUUGGAAUAUUAACAUGUGAUGUUCUGUUGUUGUAUGACAUGCUCUGCUAUCCUCAUCUUAUUAUAUAACGAUCAUUACCAAAAGUAAGGAAAUGAAGGGAAAAAAAAAAGGAAGACCUCAGUUUCCUGUGGUAAACAAUGCUUUGGUUUGAGUGUGGUCAUCUACUUUUUCCUUUAUUUCAGGCACACAUUCAGCAAAAAAAAUGCUUUGCCAGUCUCCAGUCCUGUACUUUUCAAUUAUUUUAUCGCAUUUUUAUUUGGCUAAUCUUUGUUAUCUGGUACCUUACUAGGACCUCAAGAUUAUCGCAUUUUGUUGCUCCUGUUUCCUGAUAGAUUUAACCUCCCUAUGUUAAUUAUUUGUCUCCAAUUCUUUGUUCUGAAUGUGAGAUAACAAAUAAUAUUAAAGCACUCAAUGGUUUCUGUUGAGUUUUAUAAUCAUCCCACAUGAUUUAUGUAUGGAGAAAAAAAAUAAAUUUACAUGUUUAGUCCAAGACUAUUAAUUAUAAGCAUGAAUAACAAGUAUAUGGACAAAGAAAUUGAAUUUUUUUACGAUAAAAUGAAAUGUCAAUUGUUUAGUGUCACCUAACCAAAGAACCCUCAUUCGCAAGGAAAAGUUUGUCUUAGAGCCUUGAAGCGAGGAGAAGCGCUCAACAUAUUUUGAGCCGUGCUUUAGCGCACCUUUGACAACAUUGAUUAGUACUAUGGUAAUUUUGCAAUCAAAAUGAUUUUCCACUUAAAUGACCUACUCAUAUUUCUGGUCUACUUGUUCUUAAUUGAACCUGUUGUUAUGAGUGGUAAAACAUUACAAAAUGGUUCUGAAUAUCCAAUCACUUACCCAGAUUCACCUCAUAGCUAGCUACUUUCUGAUAUUGGAAGCAUUCUUAUUCAAUGUUAAGCCAUUAAUUUUGAUGUCCUCAACUUGAUGGCAUUACUGUAUCAAGGAGCCAUUUCUUUGUAUAUUAUUUAGUCUUUACUAUUCUAUUUGCAGAUUGGAGAUCUUAAAGGGCUGUUCGGGUUGUUCUCAGUAUGCAUUUACAUGCUCAGGCAAAAGCUGAAAGUUUUGGACAUUUCCUAUGGAAGUGGCACAGGUAGGACAGAAAGGUUUGAGGAUGUAUGGUGUUUUUAUCUUGAUGGUACCUUUGCAACAAGUUUUUUGUUAUAGGAAUUAAAUGUCUUGAGAAUGAUAUGCAUAUACGCGUGUUUUGUAUACCUUUGCGAGACUUAUAAAGAGGAAACAAAAAAAUUUCACCUUCUUUCAGCUAAUACAGCUAUGAUAUAUCACCACGGGAAGCUUUUGGCUCUUCAUGAGGGUGAUAAACCAUGUAAGUCACUUCUCCAUUUGAUCUAUUGACUGAAAAACUUAAGCUGUCUAUCAUCUAAAUAGUUGCUAGCCUGAAUAUGUUGUUAAGGUUCUUUGAUAUCUUAUAGUUAAUUAAUUUCUUUAGUUUAUUCUGUAAGUGUCACAACCCAAGACUACCCCUAGUCGUAACAUAGUGUUUAGAGCCACAAGUGAUCCCAAGCUAACCCAUGGUCUAGCAUGACUCUGAGAUUUAAAUUAUUAACAACUGAAGAUAACUGAUGCAGAAGUUUAAUAUGAAUAGUUUAUUAAAUCCAAAACACUAAAUGGAAUAUCUGAAUAAAACAUAAGCUGAAGCUACCAUCUGACUGUCUGAAAACCUCUAUUAAGAUGAGUUGCUGGGACAAGACCCCAGCUAACUUUAACUGUCUGAAAACUGCAAGACUUAAUAAAUGAAAUGAAUAAAAGGGUUGUCCUCGAGAGAUGAGGACUCACAAAACUCUGCUGCUGAGCUGAUACAAAAUCGUACUAACCGCGAGUUGGAUACUGACAUCUGAACCUAUCUUAUAACUACAUAGCGUAAGAAUGUUUGUGGUCAGUACUUUGAAUGUACUGAGUAUGUGAGACAUGCAUCAUAAUCUAGUAAACUGAACACUGAACAGAAUAAAUUCGAGAUACUAAACUAAACGUGAAACUGAAAUACAUGAAUUGAUGCAAUGACCAAGUAGUAAAACAUGCGUCUGACAAAUACUGAAACUGAAAUAAUAACCGACUGAAUUGUAGGAGAUACUAAUAACCGAUAUAAAACCAUGUGAGCUAAACAUGGAGUUCUAUGUAUAAUCUCCAUAAAAAAUGCCCAAUAUACCUUGCCAGGGUAUAAAAGCUGAUUUGAGCUAAUGUGGUACCAGGUGUCAAUCCUGGUCUAACGGUUGACCCUUAUGAUCCUAUGGUGGCACGUAGUUUUGAUACUUAAGGAUUUCUACUAAAGAUCUCAUUCUUAACCGGCAGGUGAACCUUCAUCUCUAUGUCCACGCAGUCCUAAGUAAUACUCCCAACUGAAUGUAUGCUGAUAGACUAACAAUACUAAUAUUCUGAUAAUACUGAAUAAUGCUGAUACAAUUGAUAAUAUGAGAAGCUCAUGAUUUCUAAUAAACUGAUAAUAACUAGUAGACACUUUAUCUGAAAGCAUCUUUAAUCGUGAAAAACUGAUAAUCUGAAAUAUGCAGCCUAAAAUAACAUAGUUCCGAGACAUGAAAUAAUACCUAUAUCCUAAGGGUUCAUGAAAAUACUAUUUAGAAGUACUGAAUUUUAGGUGAAAACACGUAAUCAAGCUAUUCAUGAUGAAGAACAGAAAAAUAUAGUGAACAUCAUUCUUUUCACAAGAACCCUUAACUUCUGUAAAAAUCAUUAACGGAAGAACUAGGUUUACUUUGGGACUCAAUGGGUGAAAGGAUAACCAUUGAUGGGAUCCCACUUACCUAGAAUGGAAAACCCCAGCUUGAAUCCUUGAACUGAAGCUUGAAGGUGAAGAAUCCUAGUUCUUGCUUGAGAGAACUUAGAACAUAUUGUUAUAAUGAUUCUAAGUGUUAGGCGUGAAUGAGGAUGUUUAUUCGACUAAAUUCCCCUUAACUCCACUUAGGAUACGCUAAAACAUCGUGGUUCAAGAGUUAAAAUAGUGGGAAAAGACCAAAAUAAUGUUAACUGAAAAGUCGUCGGAACAUUCCGCAGGGCAUCUACGGACCAUGGUUUGAUCUACGGGCUCUAGAUCCCAUCCGUGGAAUUCACACUAAAAUUUUAAGUCUCAGAAGUUCAUUCUACGAGCCUAAUUUACGACCUAUAUAUUGGUUUAUGACCCGUGGUAGAAUCCGUGAAAAGCAGGUUGAAAAAUCAGCUGUAUAAGUUCAUUUUACAAGCUCAAACUACAGAACAUAGUUUGAAGAUUGGACCCGUAUAAUCAGUUCCUGAAAUCUCUGCUGGAAGUGUCUCUAGUAAAACGGUCAUAACUUUUUACUCCGAACUCGGAUUGAUGUAAACAUGGUGGCUUUGGAAAGAACACUCUUAAGCAUAGAUUUUGUGAGGUGUUACAUUAAGACUGUAACUUUUUAAUUCCCGGAGAUGAUUUAAUAUGUAUUCAAGCCCCCAAGCAGUGAUUUGACUGAUUUUUAGUAAGAUUGCUAGUUGUUGUUGAAGUUUGUGACCGUGUGAAACUGAAGGACCCAAUUUUUGGUAUACUGUUUCAUUCUUUCUCAUAUUGACAAAAUGAAAAGUUUGUUCACAGAUGUAGUUAAAGUUCUGGAGGAUGGAGAUCUGCAAACUCUUGGCAUGAUGGAUUACGAUAAAAGGUUGCAACAUUCCUUUACCACUCACCCGAAGGUUGACCCUGUAACUGGUAAGAGAACAGUCAUGUGAAUCUACUACUAAUUAUGGAAAUAAAAUUAAUAAAUGUGACAUGCUUUAUUGGUUCCAGUCCUUUGUUCAUAAAGAAUGCUACCUAAACUAUUAGAAAGGAACAUUCAUACUGUGCCUAUCAGCCCAGCACUUCCUUGUAUCCUUUCCUUUAGUUGCAAAAUCCUCCAAAUUGUUUCUUAAAUGAACAGGGUUCUCCUCCCAUUUCAGACCCGAACGCCCUGAUUUCCAUAUAGGUCAUUACUCGAAUGGAAAUAUAAAAACCUUUGAAAUUUUUUGUUAAUAUCUACUACCAUAUUAUGAAAGUACACUUAAGUAAUUAGUAGUGGAGAUGACAAGAAUUGUGGAACUGAGUUUGACUCAAUUCAAGUUAGGUAGCCUUUAUUCGGGAAAGAACUUAGGUAUCGAGGUGCAUUUUGUUCAAAUGUACAACAAAAGCCAAAUAUGGAUCCAAAGUAAAGCUGGGGAGUAAAAUAUAUGAUGAUUUAUUAUAUCGUAUAUUAUUUUGCAAAUACAAAGCUUGAUUUGAAAAUAUUUGCAUACAGGGGAAAUGUUUACUUUUGGCUAUUCGCCGACACCACCUUUCGCUACAUAUAGAGUCAUAUCCAAGCAUGGUGUCAUGCAAGAUCCAGUUCCAAUAACGAUACCAGCAUCUGUUAUGAUGCACGAUUUUGCUAUUACUGAAAAUUAUGCAAUUAUGAUGGAUCUUCCGAUGUACUUCAGACCAAAGGUAUGCCUCCUUUACAAAAAAAAAAUCAAUUAAUUUAUGCUUGGAAGAGUUUUGGAUUUCCUCUCCUGAUGACUAUAACAGAAGCCAUUCUUAAAGAGGGAUUUUUGUCUUGUAUAAAAUGUUCUCCUUUCCUCUUUGAGUCAUCAGCUAUUUUGUCUCUUUAGUUUGGAACUCCGUUUUCGGUCUUUUUCUUGAACAUGGAACUUGUAGAAGGAAGUUUCAAAUUGUUGCCGUAUUGGAGUGUUCUAGAAGAUGCAUUCGAGAUAAUUGAAGUGUGUAAAACUGAUGCACGGUCUUUAGACGACACAUCAAAACCAAAACAGUGAAGUAGCAUCAUCUUCUUUAUAAGUUUGAGUGCUUGGAGACAAUGUCGUUGUCGUAUAAGCAAAGGGGUAACGUAAAUUUAUGGAGAAAUGGGGCUAAAUGAUUUUGAAUUUCUUGGGAUUGUAAGUAAAUUCUGGUGGACGAAGUUCAAUUACAUGACUGGAUGUUUGAGAUGCUUAUUAAUCUAAGAUCAGUGAGACAUUUAUGAAUCAACUGACUUCUUAUUUAUUCAUUUUGCUUCUAAAGAGUGCAGAUGUGUCUCCCUCAAAUUAUACUCUUAUGACUUAUCUAUGUUGUAAAAGAAUAAUACAUUGCAGUCUAUGAUGUGGAGAUCGAUUGGAUAAAGCCAAACUUGGAAAAUUAGACAUUAAAUGUGAAAUAAUGAAUGUUUUUUCUUUUUUACUGUUGGAUGAUGUAAAGUUGAAUGUGAAUGCAAUAGACUUGGGUAUUCAACUCGUCUUCAAGUGCCUAACGAAUAAUCUAUGGCUCCUUCAAGUCCAAUAUUCGUCCGAUGAACUUUGGGAUGUGCUAUCCAUAUGCACAAGGAAGUUAACAACAUGUUGUCUACAUGUUUACGCUUGAAAGUUCCCUCAUGCUUGUUUUCAAAAUUAAUCAUGAAAGUGAGUUCAGAUGAUUAAUGAGCUGCUAUGUAUUUUUUAGGAAAUGGUGAUAAAUAAACAGCUGGUAUACAGCUUUGACCCCACAAAGAAGGCUCGUUUUGGAGUUUUUCCACGCUACGCAAAGAAUGAAGCCCUAAUCAAGUGGUUCGAGCUUCCUAAUUGCCUCAUAUUCCACAAUGGUAUGAAGUUUUAGAAUUUGAAAUUCUUUUGAUUUUUAUAUCUGAAAUUCGGAAGUUCAUGUCCCUUGAUGGGAAAAUAGAAUAGAACUCUAGCCAAGAGGUACAUGUCAGUGUAUAAUUGUACACUUCAAUUGGUAAUCCUCUUAAGAAAUAUCUCCAUUAAGCUGGUUACAGAAAAUAAUUAUCACGUAGAGCAGGUUUAUUUCCAGUGACAUUUUACAUUUUGUCCUUUACUUCUUCUGCAAAUAUUUGCCAGUUUUCCUAAGCUGUUGGAUGGUAAAUAUUAGGCGUAAUGCAUAAACAGACACUCAAACUUGGCCUCAACUGGCAAGUAAACACUCUAACUAAACGAAUGCACGUGUCUAGAUAUGCACUCUUAAAUUUGGAGUGUUUACUUGCCAACUGAGAUCAAGCUUGAAUAACUUCACUUCACUCAAACUGGCAUGUGGCUACAUUUACCUUAGAUAAAACUGUGGGACUUGGGAUGACACAUGUGCAAUUAUAAUUUGUGGAUAAUCGCUCAAGAAAGUUGAGGACUAACCCAUAAGCUACUUACAGUAUAAGUGAAACAUUUAAAGGAUUGGAUUUAUCUGCAUACAACUGUGCUCCUGAAAGAAGUUACUCAAGUAAGUUUUUAAUUGAUUCCUUUGGCGGAAAAGGAGUCUGAGUACCUUCAUAGAAACUUCCUCUUUGAUAAAGUAACAAACUGAAAGAAAGUAGGGGAUUCGACGAUUGUAGAUGGUCUCUCGUCCUGAUGUAUGAUCUUGACAUAUUUCCGUGUGAGCUCCGGGGCACUAAUAAGUGGGUGGGUAUCUUGAAAGCCUCAUGCUAGGUCUAUGCUGCACAAAAGAGAAAACCUUUUCUUACUCUUCAACUCCCAGUAAUUUCUUCCUUUUUCUAUCAAAAUAGAGUGAGUGCAAAGCGUAAGGUGGAUAUCUUGAAAGCCUCAUGCUAGGUCUAUGCGGCACAAAAAAAAACAGAUUUCUACCAACCAACUGAGAAAACAGCUAUCAACUUCAUUGAACCUGCUUCCUGAUAUACUUUUAUACAAAUUUGAAGAGAUGGAUACUCUUUGGAACCAAUGUAGAUGAUUUGCACUUCUCAGAUCGUCUUGUUGGACAUAACGACUACCUUAAUUUGAGUGACUUCUAUUAAAGACUGCAAAAACCCAAAAAUGUUUAUCCUUUUAUCGGACACCACCAUUCAUAAACUUCAACGAAUCUCAAGAUAUAAAUGCCUUAAGUCUUACUAACCAAUCCAAACUGAGUUUUAUUUCAUUGCUUUACCAGCCAAUGCUUGGGAGGAGGGAGAUGACGUGGUCUUGAUCACUUCCCACCUGCAGAAUCCAGAUCUAGACGCGAUUAAUGGAACUGAAAAAGAAGAACAGCGUGACGGUUUCACAAAUGAGUUGUGGGGAAACUCUAGCCUGAUGAUCUUAAUUGAUUUUCAGAUCUUCCAAGUAUCUUGAUUUUAGUCUUAAUUGUCAGGUAUGAGAUGAGGUUCAAUAUGAAAAAUGGUGUAGCAUCACAGAAGAAACUGUCAGAGGCUGCUGUUGAUUUUCCACGGAUCAACGAGAACUACACUGGAAGGUCAGCUAUUACAAGAUUUUCAUUUUAAUUCUUAAAUUGCUGCACUACGUAAAAUAUCCAGAAUGUGGAAUAAUGGCUGUUAAAAUGCUGCAUAGGAAGUUAGGAACACCUUCAUCUGCUGGCUGUCUCUCUUGCUUCGUCUUUUAUUCACAGCGUUGAGAGAUUGCUUGCCUUAACUUUAGUAAUUUGAUCAUAUCAUUUUCAUUCCUUAUGUGCCUUAAUUUUAGCGAUUUGAUCAUCUCAUUUUCAUUCCUUAUGUCAUUGUGAUGAUACUGACUUUUACGAAAUUUAGGAAGCAACGCUAUGUAUAUGGAACCAUUUUAAACAACAUUUACAAGAUCACAGGAAUUGUCAAAUUUGAUUUGCAUGCGGAAGCAGAGACUGGAAAAACAAAGAUUGAAGUCGGUGGAAAUAUUCCUGGAAUUUGCGACCUUGGACCUGGAAGAUUUGGCUCAGAGGCAGUAUUUGUUCCCCGUCAGCCUGGGACAGAAUGUGAAGAGGACGACGGCUACUUGAUAUUGUUUGUACAUGAUGAGAACACUGG